UACGUAGGGGGCUAGCGUUGUCCGGAAUCAUUGGGCGUAAAGCGCGCGUAGGUGGCUUCGUAAGUCCGUUGUGAAAGUCAAAGGCUCAACCUUUGAAAGCCGAUGGAUACUGCGGAGCUAGAGUACGGAAGAGGCGAGUGGAAUUCCUGGUGUAGCGGUGGAAUGCGCAGAUAUCAGGAGGAACACCAAUAGCGAAGGCAGCUCGCUGGGACGUACUGACACUAAGGCGCGAAAGCGUGGGGAGCGAACAGG
This 252-nucleotide ribosomal RNA is filed under the name uncultured bacterium. RNAcentral describes it as "partial 16S ribosomal RNA". It matches the Rfam family "Bacterial small subunit ribosomal RNA", at positions 524 to 776 of the family's 1533-position model. The record is from RNAcentral.